This 404-nucleotide ribosomal RNA is filed under the name uncultured beta proteobacterium. Its description in RNAcentral is "bacterial SSU rRNA". It matches the Rfam family "Bacterial small subunit ribosomal RNA", at positions 129 to 527 of the family's 1533-position model. The record is from RNAcentral. Lineage: Bacteria; Pseudomonadati; Pseudomonadota; Betaproteobacteria.
CCCAGUCGUGGGGGAUAAGGCAGCGAAAGCUGCGCUAAUACCGCAUACGAUCUAUGGAUGAAAGCGGGGGACCGUAAGGCCUCGCGCGAUUGGAGCGGCCGAUGUCAGAUUAGGUAGUUGGUGGGGUAAAGGCUCACCAAGCCAACGAUCUGUAGCUGGUCUGAGAGGACGACCAGCCACACUGGGACUGAGACACGGCCCAGACUCCUACGGGAGGCAGCAGUGGGGAAUUUUGGACAAUGGGGGAAACCCUGAUCCAGCAAUGCCGCGUGCAGGAAGAAGGCCUUCGGGUUGUAAACUGCUUUUGUACGGAGCGAAAAGGCUCUGGUUAAUACCUGGGGCACAUGACGGUACCGUAAGAAUAAGCACCGGCUAACUACGUGCCAGCAGAACGCGGUAAUACC